UGGGGAAUUUUGGACAAUGGGGGAAACCCUGAUCCAGCCAUCCCGCGUGUGCGAUGAAGGCCUUCGGGUUGUAAAGCACUUUUGGCAGGAAAGAAACGUCAUGGGUUAAUACCCCGUGAAACUGACGGUACCUGCAGAAUAAGCACCGGCUAACUACGUGCCAGCAGCCGCGGUACUACGUAGGGUGCAAGCGUUAAUCGGAAUUACUGGGCGUAAAGCGUGCGCAGGCGGUUCGGAAAGAAAGAUGUGAAAUCCCAGAGCUCAACUUUGGAACUGCAUUUUUAACUACCGGGCUAGAGUGUGGCAGAGGGAGGUGGAAUUCCGCGUGUAGCAGUGAAAUGCGUAGAUAUGCGGAGGAACACCGAUGGCGAAGGCAGCCGCCUGGGAUAACACUGACGCUCAUGCACGAAAGCGUGGGGAGCAAACAGG
Molecule: ribosomal RNA, 429 nt
Filed under: Acidobacteriota bacterium
Lineage: Bacteria; Pseudomonadati; Acidobacteriota
Description: Acidobacteria bacterium partial 16S ribosomal RNA
Rfam family: Bacterial small subunit ribosomal RNA
Source: RNAcentral